RNAcentral lists this unclassified non-coding RNA (206 nucleotides) under Hevea brasiliensis (rubber tree). The record is from RNAcentral. Lineage: Eukaryota; Viridiplantae; Streptophyta; Magnoliopsida; Malpighiales; Euphorbiaceae.
AUUGGCGACCCUGGUGUUUCAGGAGUAGGAGAUUGAUGUUCGUCUUUAGAUUGAGAUACACCAGUAAUUUCUUUAUUUGAUUUCUUAUUUCUUGAGAAAAAUAAACUAGAAACUUUCCCCUUCAAAGAUGAUUUCGCGCUCUUUGCCGUCCUCAGCUCCUUGGAAUCUUCUGUUCCGACAGCCUGUGAAUCUGGAACCUCAAAAUU